Molecule: ribosomal RNA, 465 nt
Filed under: uncultured bacterium
Lineage: Bacteria
Description: partial 16S ribosomal RNA
Rfam family: Bacterial small subunit ribosomal RNA
Source: RNAcentral
CCUACGGGUGGCUGCAGUAGGGAAUCUUCCACAAUGGACGAAAGUCUGAUGGAGCAACGCCGCGUGAGUGAAGAAGGGUUUCGGCUCGUAAAGCUCUGUUGGUAGUGAAGAAAGAUAGAGGUAGUAACUAGCCUUUAUUUUACGGUAAUUUCUUAGGAAGUCACGGCUAACUACGUGCCAGUAGCCGCCGUAAGACGGAGGUGGCAAGCGUUGUCCGGAUUUAUUUGGCGUAAAGCGAGUGCAGGGGGUUCAGUAAGUCUGAUGUGAAAGCCUUCGGCUAAACCGGAGCAUUGCAUCAGAAACUGUUUAACUUGAGUGCAGAUGAGGAGAGUGGAACUCCAUGUGUAGCGGUGAAAUGCGUAGAUAUAUGGAAGAACACCAGUGGCGAAGGCGGCUCUCUGGUCUGCAACUGACGCUGAGGCUCGAAAGCAUGGGUAGCGAACAGGAUUAGAUACCCCAGUAGUC